GAUUAAGUUAUUAAGGGCGCACGGUGGAUGCCUUGGCACUAGAAGCCGAUGAAGGACGUUACUAACGACGAUAUGCUUUGGGGAGCUGUAAGUAAGCUUUGAUCCAGAGAUUUCCGAAUGGGGAAACCCAGCAUGAGUUAUGUCAUGUUAUCGAUAUGUGAAUACAUAGCAUAUCAGAAGGCACACCCGGAGAACUGAAACAUCUUAGUACCCGGAGGAAGAGAAAGAAAAUUCGAUUCCCUUAGUAGCGGCGAGCGAAACGGGAAGAGCCCAAACCAACAAGCUUGCUUGUUGGGGUUGUAGGACACUCUAUACGGAGUUACAAAGGACGACAUUAGACGAAUCAUCUGGAAAGAUGAAUCAAAGAAGGUGAUAAUCCUGUAGUCGAAAAUGUUGUCUCUCUUGAGUGGAUCCUGAGUACGACGGAGCACGUGAAAUUCCGUCGGAAUCUGGGAGGACCAUCUCCUAAGGCUAAAUACUCUCUAGUGACCGAUAGUGAACCAGUACCGUGAGGGAAAGGUGAAAAGCACCCCGGAAGGGGAGUGAAAUAGAACCUGAAACCGUGUGCUUACAAGUAGUCAGAGCCCGUUAAUGGGUGAUGGCGUGCCUUUUGUAGAAUGAACCGGCGAGUUACGAUUUGAUGCAAGGUUAAGCAGUAAAUGUGGAGCCGUAGCGAAAGCGAGUCUGAAUAGGGCGUUUAGUAUUUGGUCGUAGACCCGAAACCAGGUGAUCUACCCUUGGUCAGGUUGAAGUUCAGGUAACACUGAAUGGAGGACCGAACCGACUUACGUUGAAAAGUGAGCGGAUGAACUGAGGGUAGCGGAGAAAUUCCAAUCGAACCUGGAGAUAGCUGGUUCUCUCCGAAAUAGCUUUAGGGCUAGCCUCAAGUGAUGAUUAUUGGAGGUAGAGCACUGUUUGGACGAGGGGCCCCUCUCGGGUUACCGAAUUCAGACAAACUCCGAAUGCCAAUUAAUUUAACUUGGGAGUCAGAACAUGGGUGAUAAGGUCCGUGUUCGAAAGGGAAACAGCCCAGACCACCAGCUAAGGUCCCAAAAUAUAUGUUAAGUGGAAAAGGAUGUGGCGUUGCCCAGACAACUAGGAUGUUGGCUUAGAAGCAGCCAUCAUUUAAAGAGUGCGUAAUAGCUCACUAGUCGAGUGACACUGCGCCGAAAAUGUACCGGGGCUAAACAUAUUACCGAAGCUGUGGAUUGUCCUUUGGACAAUGGUAGGAGAGCGUUCUAAGGGCGUUGAAGCAUGAUCGUAAGGACAUGUGGAGCGCUUAGAAGUGAGAAUGCCGGUGUGAGUAGCGAAAGACGGGUGAGAAUCCCGUCCACCGAUUGACUAAGGUUUCCAGAGGAAGGCUCGUCCGCUCUGGGUUAGUCGGGUCCUAAGCUGAGGCCGACAGGCGUAGGCGAUGGAUAACAGGUUGAUAUUCCUGUACCACCUAUAAUCGUUUUAAUCGAUGGGGGGACGCAGUAGGAUAGGCGAAGCGUGCGAUUGGAUUGCACGUCUAAGCAGUAAGGCUGAGUAUUAGGCAAAUCCGGUACUCGUUAAGGCUGAGCUGUGAUGGGGAGAAGACAUUGUGUCUUCGAGUCGUUGAUUUCACACUGCCGAGAAAAGCCUCUAGAUAGAAAAUAGGUGCCCGUACCGCAAACCGACACAGGUAGUCAAGAUGAGAAUUCUAAGGUGAGCGAGCGAACUCUCGUUAAGGAACUCGGCAAAAUGACCCCGUAACUUCGGGAGAAGGGGUGCUCUUUAGGGUUAACGCCCAGAAGAGCCGCAGUGAAUAGGCCCAAGCGACUGUUUAUCAAAAACACAGGUCUCUGCUAAACCGUAAGGUGAUGUAUAGGGGCUGACGCCUGCCCGGUGCUGGAAGGUUAAGAGGAGUGGUUAGCUUCUGCGAAGCUACGAAUCGAAGCCCCAGUAAACGGCGGCCGUAACUAUAACGGUCCUAAGGUAGCGAAAUUCCUUGUCGGGUAAGUUCCGACCCGCACGAAAGGCGUAACGAUUUGGGCACUGUCUCAACGAGAGACUCGGUGAAAUCAUAGUACCUGUGAAGAUGCAGGUUACCCGCGACAGGACGGAAAGACCCCGUGGAGCUUUACUGUAGCCUGAUAUUGAAAUUCGGCACAGCUUGUACAGGAUAGGUAGGAGCCUUUGAAACGUGAGCGCUAGCUUACGUGGAGGCGCUGGUGGGAUACUACCCUAGCUGUGUUGGCUUUCUAACCCGCACCACUUAUCGUGGUGGGAGACAGUGUCAGGCGGGCAGUUUGACUGGGGCGGUCGCCUCCUAAAAGGUAACGGAGGCGCUCAAAGGUUCCCUCAGAAUGGUUGGAAAUCAUUCAUAGAGUGUAAAGGCAUAAGGGAGCUUGACUGCGAGACCUACAAGUCGAGCAGGGUCGAAAGACGGACUUAGUGAUCCGGUGGUUCCGCAUGGAAGGGCCAUCGCUCAACGGAUAAAAGCUACCCCGGGGAUAACAGGCUUAUCUCCCCCAAGAGUUCACAUCGACGGGGAGGUUUGGCACCUCGAUGUCGGCUCAUCGCAUCCUGGGGCUGUAGUCGGUCCCAAGGGUUGGGCUGUUCGCCCAUUAAAGCGGUACGCGAGCUGGGUUCAGAACGUCGUGAGACAGUUCGGUCCCUAUCCGUCGUGGGCGUAGGAAAUUUGAGAGGAGCUGUCCUUAGUACGAGAGGACCGGGAUGGACAUACCUCUGGUGUACCAGUUGUCGUGCCAACGGCAUAGCUGGGUAGCUAUGUGUGGACGGGAUAAGUGCUGAAAGCAUCUAAGCAUGAAGCCCCCUCAAGAUGAGAUUUCCCAACUUCGGUUAUAAGAUCCCUCAAAGAUGAUGAGGUUAAUAGGUUCGAGGUGGAAGCAUGGUGACAUGUGGAGCUGACGAAUACUAAUCGAUCGAAGACUUAAUCAA
RNAcentral lists this ribosomal RNA (2922 nucleotides) under Staphylococcus aureus. Its description in RNAcentral is "23S ribosomal RNA". It matches the Rfam family "Bacterial large subunit ribosomal RNA". Lineage: Bacteria; Bacillati; Bacillota; Bacilli; Caryophanales; Staphylococcaceae. The record is from RNAcentral.